CCUACGGGUGGCAGCAGUGAGGAAUAUUGGUCAAUGGCCGGAAGGCUGAACCAGCCAAGCCGCGUGAAGGACGAAGGUGCCAAGCAUUGUAAACUUCUUUUGUCAAGGGACAAAAUCAGGCUCGAGAGCCUGACCGAGGGUACUUGAAGAAAAAGCAUCGGCUAACUCCGUGCAAGCAGCCGCGGUAAUACGGAGGCUGCGAGCGUUAUCCGGAUUUAUUGGGGUUAAAGGGUGCGUGGGCGGGCUGUUAAGUCAGGGGUAAAAGCCCGGGGCUCAACCCCGGCGAGCCGUUGAAACUGGCUGACUUGAGAUGUCGAGAGGUAUGCGGAAUGCGCAGUGUAGCGGUGAAAUGCUUAGAUAUUGCGCAGAACUCCGAUUGCGAAGGCAGCAUACCGGCGGCGAUCUGACGCUGAGGCACGAAAGCGUGGGUAUCGAACAGGAUUAGAUACCCGAGUAGUC
This 459-nucleotide ribosomal RNA is filed under the name uncultured bacterium. RNAcentral describes it as "partial 16S ribosomal RNA". It matches the Rfam family "Bacterial small subunit ribosomal RNA", at positions 338 to 795 of the family's 1533-position model. The record is from RNAcentral.